This 467-nucleotide ribosomal RNA is filed under the name uncultured bacterium. RNAcentral's name for it is "partial 16S ribosomal RNA". It matches the Rfam family "Bacterial small subunit ribosomal RNA", at positions 28 to 507 of the family's 1533-position model. The record is from RNAcentral.
GACGAACGCUGGCGGCGUGCUUAACACAUGCAAGUCGAACGGAAAGGCCUCUUUCGGGGGGUACUCGAGUGGCGAACGGGUGAGUAACACGUGAGUAACCUGCCCUUGACUUUGGGAUAACUUCAGGAAACUGGGGCUAAUACCGGAUAGGAGCUCCUGCUGCAUGGUGGGGGUUGGAAAGGUUCGGCGGUUGGGGAUGGACUCGCGGCUUAUCAGCUUGUUGGUGGGGUAGUGGCUUACCAAGGCUUUGACGGGUAGCCGGCCUGAGAGGGUGACCGGCCACAUUGGGACUGAGAUACGGCCCAGACUCCUACGGGAGGCAGCAGUGGGGAAUAUUGCACAAUGGGUGGAAGCCUGAUGCAGCAACGCCGUGUGCGGGAUGACGGCCUUCGGGUUGUAAAACGCUUUCGCUCAUGACGAAGCUUUGUGUGACGGUAGUGGGUAAAGAAGCACCGGCUAACUACGUG